This 889-nucleotide ribosomal RNA is filed under the name uncultured archaeon. Its description in RNAcentral is "bacterial SSU rRNA". It matches the Rfam family "Archaeal small subunit ribosomal RNA", at positions 1 to 879 of the family's 1478-position model. The record is from RNAcentral.
CGCCUGCCGUUUCGACGAUUUUCCGGUUGAUCCUGGCGGAGGCUAUUGCUAUCAGGGUUUGACUAAGCCAUGCGAGUCGAGAGGUGAAAGACCUCGGCAUACUGCUCAGUAACACGUGGAUAAUCUGCCCUCAGAAGAAGAAUAAUCCCGGGAAACUGGGGCUAAUGCUUCAUAGGAGACGGGUGCUGGAAUGCUCUGUCUCUGAAAGGUCCGCCGUCUGAGGAUGAGUCUGCGUCCGAUUAGGUUGUUGUUGGGGUAACGGCCCACCAAGCCUUUGAUCGGUACGGGUUGUGGGAGCAAGAGCCCGGAGAUGGAUUCUGAGACAUGAAUCCAGGCCCUACGGGGCGCAGCAGGCGCGAAAACUUUACAAUGCGAGCAAUCGUGAUAAGGAAACCCUGAGUGCCUGUCAAUGCAGGCCGUUCUGGUGUCUAACGCACACCAGGAGAAAGGGCGGGGCAAGACCGGUGCCAGCCGCCGCGGUAAUACCGGCUGCUCGAGUGAUAGCCACUUUUACUGGGCUUAAAGCGUUCGUAGCUUGGUCGUUAAGUCUCUGGGGAAAUCUUUUGGCUCAACCAAAAGGCGUCUCAGGGAAACUGGCGACCUAGGAACCGGGAGAGGUAAGACGUACUUCGGGGGUAGGAGUGAAAUCUUGUAAUCCCCGAGGGACGACCGAUGGCGAAGGCAUCUUACCAGAACGGCUUCGACAGUGAGGGACGAAAGCUGGGGGAGCAAACCGGAUUAGAUACCCGGGUAGUCCCAGCCGUAAACGAUGUGCGUUAGGUGUGUCAGCGACCACGAGUCGCUGAGGUGCCGAAGGGAAACCGUGAAACGCACCGCCUGGGAAGUACGGUCGCAAGGCUGAAACUUAAAGGAAUGGGCGGGGGGACAC